UAUGACCCUGUGCUGCACUAACUUGAAAGUAACCCUAAACCAAGCCUCUAAGCUGACCCAAACACUAAAAUCCAAAGAUAUUAAAGCUACAUUAUGGUGUUGUAAUUUCGAUAGAUAUUGAUACGUUUAUAAAUUUACCUUGUUACACCCCCUGUUACUUUCUGUUUGUUUAGCUUCAUGAAGCUAAACUCAAGAGUCAGACAAUUGCUCAG
Molecule: non-coding RNA, 212 nt
Organism: Pelobates cultripes (western spadefoot toad)
Lineage: Eukaryota; Metazoa; Chordata; Amphibia; Anura; Pelobatidae
Source: the annotation of a GenBank genome assembly